AUGGUGCCCCUCAAUAACUUGACAUAUAUUAUGUUUGUUGACCUGGCGUGCUGCAGACAACUUCCCGAUGGGUUGUGUCAGCUCCCGAACCUGCAGUUCUUUAAGGUAGACCGUGCUCCAUUCAUCAGGCGUGUUGGGGCUGGAUUCUUGCAGGCUGCGGCUACUCCAUUUCCGAGGUUAAAUGAGAUGUACUUACUAGGAAUGGUGCAAUGGGAAGAGUGGGAGUGGGAGGAGCAAGUACAAGCCAUGCCUAGGUUGGAGAAGCUUAUGCUCAGGAAAUGCAAACUGAGGCGUAUUCCUACAGGCGUUGCCACCAAUGCAAGGGCUUUGAAGGAAUUAUUUCUACAAGACGUCCAACACCUCAACUACCUUGAGACCCUUCCUUCUGUUGUUGAGCUUACAAUGCUUCGAAUCCCCGACAUGGAGAGGAUCACUAAUCUCCCCAAUCUGCAGAAGCUCACGAUCACCGAUUGCCCAAAGCUGAAGGUGCUAGAAAGUAUCCCUGCACUUGAGAGGUUGAUCCUGCAGGAUUAUGUCAUGGAAGAACUCCCAGAAUACAUGCGAGAUAUAAAGCCAAGGAUAUCGCUGCUAUCUUCAUUAGCCGCGGGACAAUCUGGUCCUGAGUGGGACAAGUUCAGCCAUGUGGAGUAUGUCAAGGCAUAUGCAUGUGAUGGAAACAACCCAAGAAAAUGGUACGUUCUAUACACAAGAGACAAUGGCAAGCUGGAGUCCAAUAUUAGCAGCUCUACCGUAUUUGAAGGCGAUACAAUGGCUGCAGAGGAGGAACGACAAGCAGCAGCAGCAGUUGCAUCCGGUCCAGGAGAUGGAAACAAGGAACAAGAAGCAUACCGACUACAAACAGCGGUCUAG
Molecule: ribosomal RNA, 870 nt
Filed under: Triticum aestivum (bread wheat)
Lineage: Eukaryota; Viridiplantae; Streptophyta; Magnoliopsida; Poales; Poaceae
Description: partial small subunit ribosomal RNA
Source: RNAcentral